AUUGAACGCUGGCGGCAGGCCUAACACAUGCAAGUCGAACGGUAACAGGAAGCAGCUUGCUGCUUCGCUGACGAGUGGCGGCCGGGUGAGUAAUGUCUGUGAAGCUGCCUGAUGGAGGGGGAUAACUACUGGAAACGGUAGCUAAUACCGCAUAAUGUCGCAAGACCAAAGAGGGGGACCUUCGGGCCUCUUGCCAUCGGAUGUGCCCAGAUGGGAUUAGCUUGUUGGUGGGGUAACGGCUCACCAAGGCGACGAUCCCUAGCUGGUCUGAGAGGAUGACCAGCCACACUGGGACUGAGACACGGUCCAGACUCCUACGGGAGGCAGCAGUGGGGAAUAUUGCACAAUGGGCGCAAGCCUGAUGCAGCCAUGCCGCGUGUAUGAAGAAGGCCUUCGGGUUGUAAAGUACUUUCAGCGGGGAGGAAGGGAGUAAAGUUAAUACCUUUGCUCAUUGACGUUACCCGCAGAAGAAGCACCGGCUAACUCCGUG
RNAcentral lists this ribosomal RNA (490 nucleotides) under uncultured bacterium. RNAcentral describes it as "partial 16S ribosomal RNA". It matches the Rfam family "Bacterial small subunit ribosomal RNA", at positions 30 to 507 of the family's 1533-position model. The record is from RNAcentral.